CGGGGAUGGGCGGGGACAAUGGCGGGAUGGGCGGGGACAAUGGCGGGAUGGGCGGGGCCUAGGGGUCGGACUGCCGGACCUCUCCUCGGCGCGUCCCAGCGACUUUUUUAGGCCUGUUUGUCGCCCAGCAGUACUCGAUUCUUCACUUUUGGAUUCCCUUGAAUCUCUAUGGUGUCCUUUGGAGCCUAGCUAAGUAAAAAAUUAGAGACCUGUGGGCCCCUUAUAUUGGAAUCGGAGCUUAAGAUGGGAAAGGUUUGCUUGAAAACGUUUCUGCGAGCGAUGGAGGCGCGUCCUGCGACGAGGCGGGAGGAGCGCUGGGACCUGGUGGAUGGGAGAGGGCGACGGUAUAAGGAAGCUCUUGGAUCCAGGAACUUCUGAAAUCCGGACGAUUAAAAUUUGUAUUUAAUUAAGCGAAAGCUGGAGUUGUCUGCGUAGGUGAUGGAAACUGGAAUGAGAUGCAUUUUUGUGCCUGUGCGGAGUGUACAAUUUUAUAUUGACUUUCACUGGAACGUAAUUUUUAUUUCCGCUCCCCAGUCACCCAGGAGGCAGAGAUGCACCAUGGGCUGAGUUCCAGAGAAUUUAUGGGGUCAGACCCUGGGCGGUGGGGGGUGGAAGGCUGAGGCUUGGCUUUAAAAGAACGCAAAGUUCUGCUUGUAUCGAUCUAAAUUUAUUUUCCUUUAUUAUCCUAAUGCACAUUUCUUGAGAUAAAUUACAAAUCCAAGUGCUGGAUUUAUUGGAGUUGGGGGAAGAAAUCGUCAUAAGUGAAAGGUUAUUUUCCAUGAAAAUGUGGCCCACAACUCGUGUUGCCAUGCAGAACCUUCUGCUUACUCAAUAUUGAGUGCUGGAAAAUGACAGAAUGGCCUCUGUGGACCUGAAAAUUGGAAUGAUCUUCCUAUUUGUGGGCAGCAAGCCACCCAGCUGCCGAGGCAAGAGACCGAGGGCACGAGCUGUUCCAGCAUAAUAAAAUAUAUAAAACAACAAGAGUUAUAUUAGAUCU
Molecule: long non-coding RNA, 997 nt
Filed under: Homo sapiens (human)
Lineage: Eukaryota; Metazoa; Chordata; Mammalia; Primates; Hominidae
Description: HSALNT0398664
Source: RNAcentral